AAUCACAAGGGAUCCAUUGAGUGAGCCACUGCAACAAACAGGAACCCCUUCAAAGAGCUUCCAGUCUGGUGGGUAAGUAGGACCAACUACAUAAUCCUUGGUAAGAAAAGGAGGUGGCCCUGACAAGUGCAACUCGAGAAAUGCAAUGCUGUAGAGUCCAAAGGUGUCUGACUUGAACGAAAUGAUCCCACUGGGGGACAAUGCAACAUAUACUCCAGGGUCAUGUUUUGUCAUGAUGCAGCAAGGAGAUCUGUUCCUAACUUGGACUUGGUUGUCUAACCCUCAUCUCUUCUCUUUAUUACAAGGUAAGCAUAGUGGAAAACAUAUUGGACUUAGAUUCAAACACACCUGAACCUGUAACUUAUGAGCCAGGUGACCUUGGGGGUAAGUAAAUUUAUUUCUCUAAUGGGGUUAAAUAAUGCCUACUCAAUGCUUUAAAAGAUUUUCAGUGUGGAAUAAGACUGCAAAUGCUUACAAUAAUAGCACUAAGACUAAUAACAGCUAACAGUUAAUUAUAUAAUGCUUACUAUAUGCUAGGCACUGGUAUUAAGGUCUUUACAUGAAGCACUCAAUAAAUAUUAGCUGCAGAGAAAUCUCACGGAAUUGACUAUAUAACCUGCCCUAACUGACGGGAACGUUACCUAUUCUUUCCAUCAAGGGAACUGAUUGCUUCCAGAAGCUUUUGAUGCUUUCUCUCUCCAUCAUUGUCCCCCUAAGACACAGAAAAGGAAAAACAAUCAGGAUGAGGGGGAGGGAAAAGACAACAUGGAAAUUGAGUCUCAUGUAAAAUCUCUUGUUAUUUAUUUAUUUAUUUUUGAGACGGCGUCUCGCUCUGUUGCCCAGGAUGGAGUGCAGUGGUGUUAUCUUGGCUCACUGCAAGCUCCGCCUCCCAGGUUCAUGCCAUUCUCCUGCCUCAGCCUCCCAAGUAGCUGGGACUACAGGCGCCUGCCACCACGCCUGGCUAAUUUUUUGUAUUUUUAGUAGAGACGGGGUUUCACUGUGUUAGCCAGGAUGGUCUCAAUCUCCUGACCUUGUGAUCUGCCCGCCUUGGCCUCCCAAAGUGCUGGGAUUACAGGCAUGAGCCAUCACCCGGGCCUGUUUUGGUUGGUCUUAUAAAUUAUACUUAUGCAACUUGAGGGUAGUGAUUGUAACUUAGUUUCCAAAUCCUCAUAGCACUUAAUAUGAUACAGUAUCUUAUAUAUGAAACACUAACCAUUUGCAAUUUAUUUGAGAGACCUGAACAAAUACAUAGAACAUUGUCACACCCUUCCAUUCCAGGAAUGUGCUCUCUACCCUAAUUUUGAAGGCAGUUUAGCAAUUGUCACCCACCUCAUCUUCACUCUCACUCAAGAGGUAGUCUUUUGGCAAAUCCGCUAGUUCUUCCUGUUGGCUCAAAGCCAGAAGGCUGUUAAAAGAGGCAACAGAGAAAUGUGAAUGCAAUAUACCCAUGUAACAAACCUGCAUAUGUAUCCCUUAAUUAUAAUAAAAGUCGAAAUUAAAAAAAGAAA
RNAcentral lists this long non-coding RNA (1508 nucleotides) under Homo sapiens (human). Its description in RNAcentral is "uncharacterized LOC105373335 (LOC105373335)". The record is from RNAcentral. Lineage: Eukaryota; Metazoa; Chordata; Mammalia; Primates; Hominidae.